AUUGAACGCUGGCGGCAUGCCUUACACAUGCAAGUCGAACGGUAACAGGUCUUCGGCUGCUGCCGAGUGGCGAACGGGUGCGUAAUACAUCGGAACGUGCCCAGACGUGGGGGAUAACGAGGCGAAAGCUUUGCUAAUACCGCAUACGAUCUAAGGAUGAAAGCAGGGGACCGCAAGGCCUUGCGCGUUUGGAGCGGCCGAUGGCAGAUUAGGUAGUUGGUGGGAUAAAAGCUUACCAAGCCGACGAUCUGUAGCUGGUCUUAGAGGACGACCAGCCACACUGGGACUGAGACACGGCCCAGACUCCUACGGGAGGCAGCAGUGGGGAAUUUUGGACAAUGGGCGAAAGCCUGAUCCAGCAAUGCCGCGUGCAGGAUGAAGGCCUUCGGGUUGUAAACUGCUUUUGUACGGAAAGAAAAGGCUCUGGCUAAUACCUGGGGCACAUGACGGUACCGUAAGAAUAAGCACCGGCUAACUACGUG
This 482-nucleotide ribosomal RNA is filed under the name uncultured bacterium. Its description in RNAcentral is "partial 16S ribosomal RNA". It matches the Rfam family "Bacterial small subunit ribosomal RNA", at positions 30 to 507 of the family's 1533-position model. The record is from RNAcentral.